AUGAUUAGUAGUUCUUAGUUGUGCUUUAAACUCACAGUGAUGCCCCGACACGACGUCGGGGCAAGCAACCAGUGACACGAUGUCACAUUGGUUGCGUUCACGUUCGUUUACAUUACAUAAAUCAGCACAUCUUAGAACUACUUAUCA
Molecule: non-coding RNA, 147 nt
Filed under: uncultured Lachnospira sp.
Lineage: Bacteria; Bacillati; Bacillota; Clostridia; Lachnospirales; Lachnospiraceae
Source: RNAcentral